GAUGAACGCUAGCGGCAGGCUUAACACAUGCAAGUCGAGGGGUAGAGGAAGCUUGCUUCCUUGAGACCGGCGCACGGGUGCGUAACGCGUAUACAAUCUACCUUUUACAGAGGGAUAGCCCAGAGAAAUUUGGAUUAAUACCUCAUAGUAUUUUCGGAUCGCAUGAUUUGAUUAUUAAAGUUCCAACGGUAAAGAUGAGUAUGCGUCCCAUUAGCUAGAUGGUAAGGUAACGGCUUACCAUGGCAAUGAUGGGUAGGGGUCCUGAGAGGGAGAUCCCCACACUGGUACUGAGACACGGACCAGACUCCUACGGGAGGGCAGCAGUGAGGAAU
Molecule: ribosomal RNA, 332 nt
Filed under: uncultured bacterium
Lineage: Bacteria
Description: bacterial SSU rRNA
Rfam family: Bacterial small subunit ribosomal RNA
Source: RNAcentral